Molecule: Y RNA, 96 nt
Filed under: Rhinopithecus roxellana (golden snub-nosed monkey)
Lineage: Eukaryota; Metazoa; Chordata; Mammalia; Primates; Cercopithecidae
Description: Y RNA (ENSRROG00000016953.1)
Rfam family: Y RNA
About the family: Y RNAs are components of the Ro ribonucleoprotein particle (Ro RNP), in association with Ro60 and La proteins.
Source: Rfam by way of RNAcentral
GGCUGGUCUGAUGGUAGUGGGUUAUUAGAAUUUAAUAACAUUAGUGUCACUAAAGUUGGUAUACAAUCCCCCACUGCUAAAUUUGACUGGUUUAAA